Molecule: small RNA, 125 nt
Filed under: Marmota monax (woodchuck)
Lineage: Eukaryota; Metazoa; Chordata; Mammalia; Rodentia; Sciuridae
Source: RNAcentral
GCCGGGCGCAGUGGCGCUUGCCUGUAAUCCUAGCAGAUCGGGAGGCUGAGGUAGGAGGAUCUCAAGUUCAAAGCCAGCCUCAACAAAAGUGAGGCACUAAGCAACUCAGUGGGACCCUGUCUCUA